AUGGAACAAGGGGAAAAUGGUAUGGAGGCAGAGAUGACGGUUAAAAUCCUUGUCACAUCGUACUUACUUACCAACCCGUAUAUGUCCCGUUUUCGCCUUCUGGUUAUUGCUUCUUUCUAUUGUCUUCACCUGUCUUAUCCUCCAUGGAGAUUGUUGACUAUAUACUACACGGAAAUUAAGGGAGGCAUUACUGCACUGAUGCUGUCAUCUACAAGGCUUAUUCAACUACAAGUUCAUAUCUGUUCGUGA
RNAcentral lists this long non-coding RNA (249 nucleotides) under Vicia faba (fava bean). The record is from RNAcentral. Lineage: Eukaryota; Viridiplantae; Streptophyta; Magnoliopsida; Fabales; Fabaceae.